Molecule: ribosomal RNA, 245 nt
Filed under: uncultured Rhodospirillaceae bacterium
Lineage: Bacteria; Pseudomonadati; Pseudomonadota; Alphaproteobacteria; Rhodospirillales; Rhodospirillaceae
Description: partial 16S ribosomal RNA
Rfam family: Bacterial small subunit ribosomal RNA
Source: RNAcentral
UACGGAGGGGGCUAGCGUUGUUCGGAAUUACUGGGCGUAAAGCGCGCGCAGGCGGUUUCUCAAGUCGGGCGUGAAAGCCCGGGGCUCAACCCCGGAAUUGCGUUCGAGACUGGGCGACUCGAGUCCGGGAGAGGGUAGCGGAAUUCCCAGUGUAGAGGUGAAAUUCGUAGAUAUUGGGAAGAACACCGGUGGCGAAGGCGGCUACCUGGCCCGGUACUGACGCUGAGGCGCGACAGCGUGGGGAG